RNAcentral lists this long non-coding RNA (1470 nucleotides) under Oncorhynchus kisutch (coho salmon). Its description in RNAcentral is "lncRNA (ENSOKIG00005047110.1)". Lineage: Eukaryota; Metazoa; Chordata; Actinopteri; Salmoniformes; Salmonidae. The record is from RNAcentral.
AUAAUAAAGAUGUUCACCAACCAAGUGUGGUGUUUUGCAAACUUAUUUGAUCUAUCACCAUGCUGGUAGGUAGCUAGAGAAGGCUUGGCCUACUAUGUUAGAUUUGACUAGGUGGUAAACAACUACGGUCCAAAGUGACUUUUCGUAGCAGGUUGGAGAAUUUAUGCAGCGGGUUAGGAUAAUUAGGUUAAGGUUAGGAAAGGUUUAGCAAAAAUGCUAAAAUUCUCCCCAACAUGCAACUUUGGACGUCCCUUUGGCUGCGUUAACACAGACAGAUGAAUUUGGAUCUUCUUUAUUUUACCACUAAUUGGUCUUUUGAUCAAUUAGAUCAGCUCUAAUGCCAAUAAUUGGGCAAAAGAUCAGAAUUAGGCUGGCUGUGUAAAUGCGGCCUUUGACAUAAACUGUAUCCCAUCUAGCCAAUCGCAUCAAAAAAAAAUUGAGAACUGGUCUGAAUGGCUAAAAUACCAAUUAGUGGGGGAAAAAAUAUCAGAAUUGCAGCCUGUUGGCCAUGUUGGUUAGAUAAUUGAUUACUGGUAGUUGCUUGUUUGUACCUCGUGCUCUGACGCAAACUCAACUCUCAAAAUAUUGCUAUCCGUGGUUAGCAGCUAGCAAAAAGGCGGAGAAAGUGUGCGCGCCAAAGUGUUUUUUGUUUACAAAUUCGCCAUGGCCCAAAGUAUUGACGGUGACAGGCGCAGGUCGGGUCAGACUGGGAAAAGUCUAUGCCAAUGCCAGAGUCCCCAUGACAACGAUAAUGUGGUCAUGCACGACCCUGAAUGCAACGCCAUACUGGAACUAGAUUCUUCAGAAUCGUCUGAGGAAUCUUCAGAAGAAGAAAUUGUGAAGUGUUCUACAGAGCCGGAGGUUGUAGGCCCAGCCAUGGAGCUGGAAAGGAGGAUUGAGGAGAUGAGGAGGCGAAAUGAGGCUUUGUUGAAAAGGUUCAAAGAAGUUGAGGAGGACAGGAGAAGGGCUGAGCGUAGGGGGGCAGCCCUGCUGCCCAAAAGCACCAAACUGGUCAAAACCAGUUAUUCAGCUCAUACCACUGAUGUGUCGGACCAGUGGGAGAGCCUCACCAUCACCGUAAUGAACCAGGACACCCGUUUGGUGGCAAGGCGGUCUAAUGGAGGCAGAAGGCAGCCCAAAUCACGGAGGUUGGAGGACCGCCUGGAAAAGAGAUGUGGGGAGGAGAAAAACAUUUUGGAGGAAAGGCAACUGAUAAUCUGCACUAUAGACAACGGUGAGGAUGCAGGAGACUACUGCACUGACCACAGUGGCAGCACAUCGGACGUAGAGAGGCGAGAGUACCUACGCUGGAAGAGACGCAACCGCUCGAUUGUGGAACUGCUCGACCAACACCAGGACAAUCUGGCAGUACACCUACAGAGCAGCAGGGAGCAGAUGGAACUGCUCGACCAGGACGACCUGGCAGUACACCUCCAGAGCAGCAGGGAGCAGCGUAAGAAGGCCCGUUAG